AUUGAACGCUGGCGGCAGGCUUAACACAUGCAAGUCGAGCGGGGAAGGUUGCUUCGGUAACUAACCUAGCGGCGGACGGGUGAGUAAUGCUUAGGAAUCUGCCUAUUAGUGGGGGACAACACUCCGAAAGGGAUGCUAAUACCGCAUACGUCCUACGGGAGAAAGCAGGGGAUCAUUUGACCUUGCGCUCAUAGAUGAGCCUAAGUCGGAUCAGCUAGUUGGUGGGGUAAAGGCCUACCAAGGCGACGAUCUGUAGCGGGUCGGAGAGGAUGAUCCGCCACACUGGGACUGAGACACGGCCCAGACUCCUACGGGAGGCAGCAGUGGGGAAUAUUGGACAAUGGGGGGAACCCUGAUCCAGCCAUGCCGCGUGUGUGAAGAAGGCCUUUUGGUUGUAAAGCACUUUAAGCGAGGAGGAGGCUUACCUGGUUAAUACCUGGGAUAAGUGGACGUUACUCGCAGAAUAAGCACCGGCUAACUCUGUGCCAGCAGCCGCAGUAA
This 501-nucleotide ribosomal RNA is filed under the name uncultured bacterium. RNAcentral's name for it is "partial 16S ribosomal RNA". It matches the Rfam family "Bacterial small subunit ribosomal RNA", at positions 30 to 523 of the family's 1533-position model. The record is from RNAcentral.